GACGAACGCUGGCGGCGUGCUUAACACAUGCAAGUCGAACGGAAAGGCCCUGCUUUUGUGGGGUGCUCGAGUGGCGAACGGGUGAGUAACACGUGAGUAACCUGCCCUUGACUUUGGGAUAACUUCAGGAAACUGGGGCUAAUACCGGAUAGGAGCUCCUGCUGCAUGGUGGGGGUUGGAAAGUUUCGGCGGUUGGGGAUGGACUCGCGGCUUAUCAGCUUGUUGGUGGGGUAGUGGCUUACCAAGGCUUUGACGGGUAGCCGGCCUGAGAGGGUGACCGGCCACAUUGGGACUGAGAUACGGCCCAGACUCCUACGGGAGGCAGCAGUAGGGAAUAUUGCACAAUGGGCGGAAGCCUGAUGCAGCAACGCCGCGUGCGGGAUGACGGCCUUCGGGUUGUAAACCGCUUUCGCCUGUGACGAAGCGUGAGUGACGGUAAUGGGUACAGAAGCACCGGCUAACUACGUG
RNAcentral lists this ribosomal RNA (468 nucleotides) under uncultured bacterium. Its description in RNAcentral is "partial 16S ribosomal RNA". It matches the Rfam family "Bacterial small subunit ribosomal RNA", at positions 28 to 507 of the family's 1533-position model. The record is from RNAcentral.